RNAcentral lists this ribosomal RNA (497 nucleotides) under uncultured bacterium. Its description in RNAcentral is "partial 16S ribosomal RNA". It matches the Rfam family "Bacterial small subunit ribosomal RNA", at positions 28 to 507 of the family's 1533-position model. The record is from RNAcentral.
GAUGAACGCUGGCGGCGUGCCUAAUACAUGCAAGUCGAGCGAACGGACGAGAAGCUUGCUUCUCUGAUGUUAGCGGCGGACGGGUGAGUAACACGUGGAUAACCCACUUAUAAGUCUGGGAUAAUCUCGGGAAACCGGAGCUAAUACCGGAUAAUAUUUUGAACCGCAUGGUUCAAAAGUGAAUGACGGUCUUGCUGUCACUUAUAGCUGCAUCCGCGCUGCAUUAGCUAGUUAGUAAGGUAACGGCUUACCAAGGCAACGAUGCAUAGCCGACCUGAGAGGGUGAUCGGCCACACUGGAACUGAGACACGGUCCAGGCUCCUGCGGGAGGCAGCAGUAGGGAAUCUGCCGCAAUGGGCGGAAGCCUGACGGAACAGCGCCGCGUGAGUGAUGGAAGUCUUCGGAUCGUAAAACUCUGUUAUUAGGGAAAAACAUAUGUGUAAGUAACUGUGCACAUCGUGACGGUACCUAAUCAGAAAGCCACGGCUAACUACGUG